RNAcentral lists this ribosomal RNA (253 nucleotides) under uncultured bacterium. RNAcentral describes it as "partial 16S ribosomal RNA". It matches the Rfam family "Bacterial small subunit ribosomal RNA", at positions 524 to 776 of the family's 1533-position model. The record is from RNAcentral.
UACAGAGGGUGCGAGCGUUGUUCGGAAUUACUGGGCGUAAAGCGCGUGUAGGCGGCUAAGCAAGUCAGACGUGAAAUCCCUGGGCUCAACUCAGGAAGUGCGUUUGAAACUAUUUGGCUAGAGUGUUGUAGAGGAUAGCGGAAUACCUAGUGUAGAGGUGAAAUUCGUAGAUAUUAGGUAGAACACCGGUGGCGAAGGCGGCUAUCUGGGCAACAACUGACGCUGAGACGCGAAAGCGUGGGGAUCAAACAGG